CUUCCGUAGGUGAACCUGCGGAAGGAUCAU
This 30-nucleotide ribosomal RNA is filed under the name Aspergillus aculeatus. RNAcentral describes it as "partial 18S ribosomal RNA". The record is from RNAcentral. RNAcentral also lists the same sequence under 2 other names. Lineage: Eukaryota; Fungi; Ascomycota; Eurotiomycetes; Eurotiales; Aspergillaceae.